AUCCUAGCGGCCAGUGGUGUCUAUAAAUAGGAAGAAUGAUCAACACCGAGUACCAUCCUCAUUAUUCUUUGGUCUUUCUUUCUUCUAAUUAGCAUACUUAUAAUGGGCGUUUCAAAGAAUUUGCAGGUCAUGGCUAUGGUGGUUUUCAUAACAAUCAGCUUGGUUCUUCCAGAGGUCGCUUCAUCAACUGCACUUGUCACUGAUGCAAUCCCAAAAACCAUUCUUGGAAGGAAGCUUCUUGAUGAUCCAUCGCUUCCUCCUACAUAUGAAGCCUGGCCAGGAACUGGAGGACGUCCAUGUUGCGGAACUCCCCCAUAAGGCGGUGGCGGCUGCAUGGGAUGCUGCUGCACUAGCUCCAUUAAUUAUGAUUGGAAAUUUAGAUCACCUAGAAUCACCGUAAUAUAUGAGAAAAGAAGGGUUUAUCUAAAAAAUGAUUAAUAAAAAAAAAAGCCCUUAAUCUCUUUUCCUAUUAA
Molecule: long non-coding RNA, 473 nt
Organism: Hevea brasiliensis (rubber tree)
Lineage: Eukaryota; Viridiplantae; Streptophyta; Magnoliopsida; Malpighiales; Euphorbiaceae
Exons: 2
Source: RefSeq, a predicted model, not a curated record